AGCGUAGGCGGGAUCGCAAGUCAGAUGUGAAAACUAUGGGCUUAACCCAUAAACUGCAUUUGAAACUGUGGUUCUUGAGUGAAGUAGAGGUAAGCGGAAUUCCUAGUGUAGCGGUGAAAUGCGUAGAUAUUAGGAGGAACAUCAGUGGCGAAGGCGGCUUACUGGGCUUUAACUGACGCUGAGGCUCGAAAGCGUGGGGAGCGAACA
This 207-nucleotide ribosomal RNA is filed under the name uncultured bacterium. Its description in RNAcentral is "partial 16S ribosomal RNA". It matches the Rfam family "Bacterial small subunit ribosomal RNA", at positions 568 to 774 of the family's 1533-position model. The record is from RNAcentral.